AACGCACCUUGCGCCUUUUGGUAUUCCGAAAGGCAUGCCUGUUUGAGUGUCAUGAAAUCUCAAUCCCCCUGGGUUUAUGAUCUGGGUCGGACUUGGAUAUGGGCGUCUGCCGGUCACACGGCUCGCCUCAAAUGACUUAGUGGAUCUCUCUGCAUCCGUGACAGACGUAAUAAGUUUCGUCUUGUCCCUUGCUUAUGAGUCUGCUCAUAACCUGCCAUCGCGCACUUUUAGACUCUGACCUCAAAUCAGGUAGGACUACCCGCUGAACUUAA
RNAcentral lists this unclassified non-coding RNA (272 nucleotides) under uncultured fungus. Its description in RNAcentral is "partial contains 5.8S ribosomal RNA, internal transcribed spacer 2, and large subunit ribosomal RNA". The stretch from base 1 to 52 matches the Rfam family "5.8S ribosomal RNA", at positions 103 to 154 of the family's 154-position model. Lineage: Eukaryota; Fungi. The record is from RNAcentral.